This 458-nucleotide ribosomal RNA is filed under the name uncultured bacterium. RNAcentral describes it as "partial 16S ribosomal RNA". It matches the Rfam family "Bacterial small subunit ribosomal RNA", at positions 338 to 795 of the family's 1533-position model. The record is from RNAcentral.
CCUACGGGAGGCUGCAGUGGGGAAUAUUGCACAAUGGGGGAAACCCUGAUGCAGCGACGCCGCGUGAGUGAAGAAGUAAUUCGUUACGUAAAGCUCUAUCAGCAGGGAAGAAAUACUGACCUUACGGUCAGCAGACGGUACCUGAGUAAGACGCCCCGGCCAACUACGUGCUAGCAGCCGCGGGAAUACGUAGGGGGCAAGCGUUAUACGGAUUUACUGGGUGUAAAGGGUGCGUAGGCGGUGCGCCAAGUCUGGAGUGAAAUGCCGGAGCUUAACGUUGGAACUGCUUUGGAAACUGGCGAACUAGAGUGCGUGAGGGGUGAGCGGAAUUCCUGGUGUAGGAGUGAAAUGCGUAGAUAUUAGGAGGAACACCAGUGGCGAAGGCGGCUUACUGGACCGUAACUGACGUUGAGGCGCGAAAGCGUGGGGAGCAAACAGGAUUAGAUACCCGAGUAGUC